This is a long non-coding RNA of Octopus sinensis (East Asian common octopus), 260 nucleotides long. RefSeq lists it as uncharacterized. The record is from RefSeq and is a predicted model, not a curated record. The transcript has 3 exons. NCBI's taxonomy places the organism in Eukaryota, Metazoa, Mollusca, Cephalopoda, Octopoda, Octopodidae.
UUUCCUUUUUCCCCCAAAACACAAUGAAGCAAUAAACCUCUUAACUUAAACAACACAAUGUUCAGAAUUCUUUUUUCUUUUUUAAAACACACAAAAAGUCACAUGUUUCACAUUUUCUAGACUCGUUCAGGUUAUCCGGCCGACCAGUAUCCUUGCUUCAUUGAAGCAUGUACUCGGUUCCAGGCCGGACCACACAGGUAUAUAUUUAUAGGAGGGCUGGCAGAAAUGUUAGCACGCUGGGCAAAAUGCUCAGCAGUAUU